UAGCUCAGCUGGUAGAGCGCAACCUUGCCAAGGUUGAGGUCACGAGUUCGAACCUCG
This 57-nucleotide transfer RNA is filed under the name Photobacterium leiognathi subsp. mandapamensis. Its description in RNAcentral is "tRNA-Gly". It matches the Rfam family "tRNA", at positions 8 to 62 of the family's 71-position model. From Rfam's summary of the family: Transfer RNA (tRNA) molecules are approximately 80 nucleotides in length. Their secondary structure includes four short double-helical elements and three loops (D, anti-codon, and T loops). Further hydrogen bonds mediate the characteristic L-shaped molecular structure. tRNAs have two regions of fundamental functional importance: the anti-codon, which is responsible for specific mRNA codon recognition, and the 3' end, to which the tRNAs corresponding amino acid is attached (by aminoacyl-tRNA synthetases). tRNAs cope with the degeneracy of the genetic code in two manners: having more than one tRNA (with a specific anti-codon) for a particular amino acid; and 'wobble' base-pairing, i.e. permitting non-standard base-pairing at the 3rd anti-codon position. The record is from RNAcentral. Lineage: Bacteria; Pseudomonadati; Pseudomonadota; Gammaproteobacteria; Vibrionales; Vibrionaceae.